RNAcentral lists this unclassified non-coding RNA (565 nucleotides) under Hevea brasiliensis (rubber tree). Lineage: Eukaryota; Viridiplantae; Streptophyta; Magnoliopsida; Malpighiales; Euphorbiaceae. The record is from RNAcentral.
GUAGUUUCAGAGCCUGUCCAUAAGCAACCAAAAGUGACAGAAAAUGUCCUUCUACCAGAAUCAUCAUCAUGCCAAACGCCCUUACAAUAGGGAGGAUUCAUAUGACAGCUUCCAGGGCUCAUCAUUCAACAAUGGAUUUGAGUAUUUUCUUGAUCCUCCAAUAAGGAAUCAGGUUGGGGUUGCAGAAUAUCAUCAGAAAGCAACUGUUUGUGUUAGGGUGGGUGAUACAGAAAUCUGUAGUGAAAGUGUUGAUGCUGUAACUGAGGAGUUCAUUAAGUUAGAGCAUAAGAAGUUCUGAUAUAACAAGUGGAUAUGUGUCACAAGCAGCAUCUAUCCAUGCAGUAUGCACUAAAGCAUCAGUCUGGGUAAUUUCUACCCAGCCAUAAAUAACUUUGUGUGCAAAUAAGGCCAGCUAUUGACGCCAUAUAUAUUAUUAGUUUCUCAAUGCAAGUAUAGCCUUUGCAUUUCCUUACAUUUCAAGUUUGAAAUCUUUACUUAAAUUUAGAAUUGUUCUCAUCAUUAAUUCAAUGGCAGCUGCACUUACGAUUGUUAAACACAAGCAAUA